CACGAAGUUAGCCGGGGCUUAUUCUUCCGGUACCGUCAUUAUCGUCCCGGACAAAAGAGCUUUACAACCCUAAGGCCUUCAUCACUCACGCGGCAUGGCUGGAUCAGGCUUGCGCCCAUUGUCCAAUAUUCCCCAUGCUGCCUCCCGUAGGAGUCUGGGCCGUGUCUCAGUCUCAGUGUGGCUGAUCAUCCUCUCAGACCAGCUACUGAUCGUCGCCUUGGUAGCCAUUACCCCACCAACUAGCUAAUCAGACGCGGGCCGAUCCUUCGGCAGCAAGCCUUUCCCCAAAAGGGCGUAUCCCGGUAUUAGCGCUAGUUUCCCAGCGUUAUUCCGAACCAAAGGGUACGUUCCCACGUGUUACUCACCCGUCUGCCGCUGACCCCGAAGGGCCCGCUCGACUUGCAUGUGUUAAGCCCUGCCCGCCAGCGUCGUCUCUGAGCCAGGAUCAAAACUCCUA
RNAcentral lists this ribosomal RNA (457 nucleotides) under uncultured Methylobacterium sp. RNAcentral describes it as "partial 16S ribosomal RNA". The record is from RNAcentral. Lineage: Bacteria; Pseudomonadati; Pseudomonadota; Alphaproteobacteria; Hyphomicrobiales; Methylobacteriaceae.